UUCUACCCAAUCUCUAAAUCAGAUGCGAAGAGGAGAACGAAGAAGUGCAGUGGAGAAAGAGGCGAGAAUCAGAGGAGCAAGAGGCCGUGGGCAAGAAAAAAUUACAGUGAAGAUAAAGAUGAAGAUGAGUCGAGGAAAUGGAAUAAGCUGGAGUAAAAACGCUACUGGGAGCAGCGUGUUGAAAAUUAGCUUAUUGGCCAUAUCAGCUAUCCCAACAAGCUCUUUUACCAAACACUAAUUUUGGCUUAUUGACCAAGUCAAUCAGCCAAAAUUGGUCAAACCAGCUAGAAAUUGGCUAAUAAGCUGGUAACCAAACACCCCCAAAAUCUUCACCUUCUACGACGACAAAUUUUACUAUGGACCACGGUCCAUAUAGUGAUGUGGUUCAUAAAAUAAGUAUUAUUUUAAUUAUAUAUUUUUUUAAUUUAA
Long non-coding RNA from Ipomoea triloba (trilobed morning glory), 429 nucleotides. RefSeq lists it as uncharacterized. NCBI's taxonomy places the organism in Eukaryota, Viridiplantae, Streptophyta, Magnoliopsida, Solanales, Convolvulaceae. The transcript has 2 exons. The record is from RefSeq and is a predicted model, not a curated record.